This 73-nucleotide transfer RNA is filed under the name Cordylochernes scorpioides. Its description in RNAcentral is "tRNA-Thr". The record is from RNAcentral. Lineage: Eukaryota; Metazoa; Arthropoda; Arachnida; Pseudoscorpiones; Chernetidae.
GUCCAGGGAUGGGAAUCGAACCCACAAUGUUCCGCUUACCGGGCAAAUACCAUGUCCACUAGGCUACCCUGGA